CGGAAGGGAGGAGUAUCAGGGAGAGGCGGAGUUCCUAUAGGAUGUAAGAGGAGAAUGGGAUACACGGGAGCGUGCCUACGCAUCCCUCAAAGACGUCACUCUCUCUGGGAGCCAAAAGAUUUCAGUUGUGUGAAGCAUCACAGCUUCCUCUGCAAUGCACGGUGAAGCAGCAGUGGCUGCUGCUGGUCCUGAUCUGCAGGUCCUGCUGCUCUUGAGGAGCCGUUCCACCAUGGGGCCUUAUGGCUGGAGGUGUGCCAUGUAUGGAAGGGCUGAGGAAGCCUGGCUGGGUUUGGGCAGAGGUAGGUGGAGAGAAUGAUCCUGGAAGACUGUGGACCCUCAAAAGCCUCUGAACAUCUCGCAGUAUCCAGUCUGAACAGAGUGUAAAGAAGAAGGGGAAAAAAAGGAAGUGGAAAAACAGGCUGAUUAAAAGAUCCAUCAGAUGUGACACUGUACAAAUAUGGGAGACAACUGGGAAAAAUGUAAACCAUAUUUCUUUUCGUGUCUUAAGCAAUGAGUGCGAGUUCGAAAAGGACACAGAUCUCACUCCUGACAGUAACGGGAACUAAUACCUUUGAUGUGUUUAACAGCUCCCACUUUUCUCAGGAGAGGAAGACAGCUUCACAGUGCACUGCAGAAAUUUAGCAGUCCCACACUCCCAUGGCAAAGAUACAUGAAAGACGUUUGUAAUAUAAAGGUAGGAAAAGGAAGAAGCGGUUAUUGAUCUAAUGACUGGGCUGGUAACGGG
RNAcentral lists this long non-coding RNA (745 nucleotides) under Gallus gallus (chicken). Lineage: Eukaryota; Metazoa; Chordata; Aves; Galliformes; Phasianidae. The record is from RNAcentral.